Molecule: ribosomal RNA, 460 nt
Filed under: uncultured Prevotella sp.
Lineage: Bacteria; Pseudomonadati; Bacteroidota; Bacteroidia; Bacteroidales; Prevotellaceae
Description: bacterial SSU rRNA
Rfam family: Bacterial small subunit ribosomal RNA
Source: RNAcentral
CCUACGGGUGGCAGCAGUGAGGAAUAUUGGUCAAUGGACGGAAGUCUGAACCAGCCAAGUAGCGUGCAGGAUGACGGCCCUAUGGGUUGUAAACUGCUUUUGUAUGGGGAUAAAGUUAGGGACGUGUCCCUAUUUGCAGGUACCAUACGAAUAAGGACCGGCUAAUUCCGUGCCAGCAGCCGCGGUAAUACGGAAGGUCCAGGCGUUAUCCGGAUUUAUUGGGUUUAAAGGGAGCGUAGGCUGGAGAUUAAGUGUGUUGUGAAAUGUAGACGCUCAACGUCUGAAUUGCAGCGCAUACUGGUUUCCUUGAGUACGCACAACGUUGGCGGAAUUCGUCGUGUAGCGGUGAAAUGCUUAGAUAUGACGAAGAACUCCGAUUGCGAAGGCAGCUGACGGGAGCGCAACUGACGCUUAAGCUCGAAGGUGCGGGUAUCGAACAGGAUUAGAUACCCCAGUAGUC